AUGCUCACUUUGGCAGCACGUAUACUAAAAUUGGAACGAUACGGAGAAGAUUAGCAUGAUGUCCCGAAAAAGAAUAAACAAAUAAAUUUGUCU
Molecule: small nuclear RNA, 93 nt
Filed under: Piliocolobus tephrosceles (Ugandan red Colobus)
Lineage: Eukaryota; Metazoa; Chordata; Mammalia; Primates; Cercopithecidae
Source: RNAcentral